This 484-nucleotide ribosomal RNA is filed under the name uncultured bacterium. RNAcentral describes it as "partial 16S ribosomal RNA". It matches the Rfam family "Bacterial small subunit ribosomal RNA", at positions 30 to 507 of the family's 1533-position model. The record is from RNAcentral.
AUUGAACGCUGGCGGCAGGCCUAACACAUGCAAGUCGAGCGGAUGAAGGGAGCUUGCUCCUGGAUUCAGCGGCAGACGGGUGAGUAAUGCCUAGGAAUCUGCCUGGUAGUGGGGGAUAAGGUCCGGAAACGGGCGCUAAUACCGCAUACGUCCUGAGGGAGAAAGUGGGGGAUCUGCGGACCUCACGCUAUCAGAUGAGCCUAGGUCGGAUUAGCUAGUUGGUGGGGUAAAGGCCUACCAAGGCGACGAUCCGUAACUGGUCUGAGAGGAUGAUCAGUCACACUGGAACUGAGACACGGUCCAGACUCCUACGGGAGGCAGCAGUGGGGAAUAUUGGACAAUGGGCGCAAGCCUGAUCCAGCCAUGCCGCGUGUGUGAAGAAGGUCUUCGGAUUGUAAAGCCCUUUAAGUUGGGAGGAAGGGCAGUAAGUUAAUACCUUGCUGUUUUGACGUUACCCACAGAAUAAGCACCGGCUAACUUCGUG